UACGAAGGGGGCUAGCGUUGCUCGGAAUCACUGGGCGUAAAGGGUGUGUAGGCGGUUCUUUAAGUUUGGUGUGAAAUCUCCCGGCUCAACCGGGAGGGUGCGCCGAAUACUGAGGGACUCGAGUGCGGGAGAGGAAAGUGGAAUUCCUGGUGUAGCGGUGAAAUGCGUAGAUAUCAGGAGGAACACCGGUGGUGUAGACGGCUUUCUGGACCGUAACUGACGCUGAGACACGAAAGCGUGGGGAGCGAACAGG
This 253-nucleotide ribosomal RNA is filed under the name uncultured bacterium. RNAcentral's name for it is "partial 16S ribosomal RNA". It matches the Rfam family "Bacterial small subunit ribosomal RNA", at positions 524 to 776 of the family's 1533-position model. The record is from RNAcentral.